UUGGUUUGGUUGAGCUUUUAUUCAGUGGAGUUUGUUUUGAAACAGGGUCUCACUAUGUAGUUCUGGUUGGCUUCCAGCUCAGAGACACGCCUGCCAAAAGGGUUCUUGAAGAAUCUAUUAGAGCAAAAGGAGCUUCCUGUGGCGGCACGUGCUAAUAACCCCAGGAACUGGGAACCAGAGACAAAGGAACGACAGGCUUGAAGCCAUCGUGGACUACGUGGAGAAUUCUAGCAUACAGAGGGGACUCCCGCAUCACCCCACCUUGCCGCUUCAUCAUCUCAAGGAAGGUUCUGAGUCACCUUGCCCUCUUCCCUUUGGUCGGACUUCAGAGCUCUGAGUCAGCUGAUUAACUAGGAACCACAGACCUCAGGCCCCAAGGGAAUGUCAGUGAAAGGCAUGGAGAGAGAAUCUUGGCUAUAGUCACUACCAACAGCUUGUGAGUACCACAGCAGAAAUAGAGCUCUGAGUCCCACCGUAUGCUAGCCGCCUGGGGAGCAUCCAACACAGAGCCAGCGGAGCCUCCAUGAAGCAGGCAUGUCCUUUUCUACAGGGCUGGGAGGCUGAGAUCUGGCUGAAGGAGUGAACUGAGCCCCAGCAGCCAGCCAGUUGCCUGUGACUGGUAAGAGUACCGAUUAGUCUAAAAAGUGGGUAGGGAACUCGAAACAGUGUAGCCACCUCCAGGCCGGAGGUCAACAACAGGUGCACAAUGUGGUGUUGUUCAAGUAAAGGAGACAGGAAAAGGUAGUGCAUGGGGGUAGAAAGCUUUGGCAUGCAAUUCCUGGGGAAAGGAAGAGAGGGCUGAGAGUACCUGGCAGAAAAAUGGGGACGUUCUUCUGUGCUUCCUUCUUCCCCUUCCCACCUAGGGGUUCACGAUGUAACCAGGACUGGCCUCAGACUGACAGACCUCCUUCUUCCACCCAGUGCUGGAAAAACAAGCGCGUGUCACCACACCUAGGUAGACACUCUACCUAGAAGUGCAUUCUGGAAAGUUCCUGCCUUAUUCAGAGAAUAAGGGAGGGAAGGAACACUCACUCAGUCUAGAGGGAGUGAUUCGGGCAGGAAGCAAUGAUUUUACAAACCCGAGAGUGGGUUUGGAUUUUACUUCAUUGGAAACCAGGAUCGAGAGUAGAGGCUCACACACUCAGCCCCUUGCAGCUCUGGAUGCACGGAGGGAAAGGAAGCAGUUCUGGCAAGGACAGCAUGUCAUGUCUUUAUAACCCACUGCAUAUACACAUGUGCACACAUGGAAUGGGUGGAAAAGGAAGCUAGAGGGGCCCUGGGUACCCCACACUGGUGCUGUUUUAGGGAGGUGACAGAGGACUCUCACUGAGGACUUCUUGUGGGAGGGUCUUCUGUAGGUGGACUUUUCUAUCCUCCCAGCCAGUUACUAAAUUACCACACAGAGAUAAUUAUUGAUUAUUAAUUAUAAAAGAUCAGCUGGUAGCUCAGGCUUGUUACUAACUAGCUCUUACAUUUUAAAUUAGCCCAUAUUUCUUAUCUACGCUCUGCCACAUGGUGGUAUCUUUUUUCAUUGUUCUGGGCAGGGGU
Arvicola amphibius (Eurasian water vole) is the source of this 1548-nucleotide long non-coding RNA. RefSeq lists it as uncharacterized. The transcript is spliced from 3 exons. Lineage: Eukaryota; Metazoa; Chordata; Mammalia; Rodentia; Cricetidae. The record is from RefSeq and is a predicted model, not a curated record.